GAUGAAGAACGUAGCGAAAUGCGAUAAGUAAUGUGAAUUGCAGAAUUCAGUGAAUCAUCGAGUCUUUGAACGCACAUUGCGCCCCCUGGUAUUCCGGGGGGCAUGCCUGUCCGAGCGUCAUUGCUGCCCUCAAGCACGGCUUGUGAGUUGGGCCCCCGUCCCCGGUUUCCCCCGGGGACGGGCCCGAAAGGCAGCGGCGGCACCGCGUCCGGUCCUCGAGCGUAUGGGGCUUUGUCACCCGCUCUGUAGGCCCGGCCGGCGCCAGCCGACACCCAACUUUAUUUCUAAGGUUGACCUCGGAUCAGGUAGGGAUACCCGCUGAACUUAAGCAUAUCAAUAAGCGGAGGA
This 348-nucleotide unclassified non-coding RNA is filed under the name soil metagenome. RNAcentral's name for it is "partial contains 5.8S ribosomal RNA, internal transcribed spacer 2, and large subunit ribosomal RNA". The stretch from base 1 to 120 matches the Rfam family "5.8S ribosomal RNA", at positions 35 to 154 of the family's 154-position model. The record is from RNAcentral.